Molecule: ribosomal RNA, 498 nt
Filed under: uncultured bacterium
Lineage: Bacteria
Description: partial 16S ribosomal RNA
Rfam family: Bacterial small subunit ribosomal RNA
Source: RNAcentral
AACGAACGCUGGCGGUAUGCCUAAUACAUGCAAGUCGAACGGUAACAGGUCUUCGGAUGCUGACGAGUGGCGAACGGGUGAGUAAUGCAUCGGAGCGUGCCCAGUAGUGGGGGAUAGCCCGGCGAAAGCCGGAUUAAUACCGCAUACGACCUGAGGGUGCAAGGGGGGGAUUGCAAGACCUCUCGCUAUUGUAGGAGCCGAAUUCAGAUUAGCUAGUUGGUGGGGUAAAGGCGUACAAAGGAAACCAUCUGUAGUUGGUCUGAGAGGACGACCAGCCACACUGGGACUGAGACACGGCCCAGACUCCUACGGAAGGCAGCAGUGGGUAAUUUUGGACAAUGGGCGCAAGCCUGAUCCAGCAAUGCCGCGUGCAGGAAGAAGGCCUUCGGGUUGUAAACUGCUUUUGUCAGGGAAGAAAUCUUCUGGGUUAAUACCUCGGGAGGAUGACGGUACCUGAAGAAUAAGCACCGGCUAACUACGUGCCAGCCGCCGCCGUAA